Long non-coding RNA from Trachemys scripta elegans, 253 nucleotides. RefSeq lists it as uncharacterized. The transcript is spliced from 5 exons. The record is from RefSeq and is a predicted model, not a curated record. NCBI's taxonomy places the organism in Eukaryota, Metazoa, Chordata, Testudines, Emydidae.
CUUUUCUAAAGACCAAAUUUUCAAGUGUGGAUGUUUGAAUUUUGCCAGCAAAACCUGCAUUUUUGUGUAAAAUCCAGGAAACUUAAUUAUUCAGCUGUUCUUCAGGGUAGAAAAUGGGAAGAAACCCAGUGUUCCAUCCACCGAAUACUGAUAACGGAAUCCAUACUGAGGAUUUACCUGGAGCUGUGAAUCUACUUUGAAUAAAUGGACCACCAUGCCUUCUUUGGGGUAUCAGAAGAAAAGGGAAAUUGCU